RNAcentral lists this ribosomal RNA (252 nucleotides) under uncultured bacterium. RNAcentral's name for it is "partial 16S ribosomal RNA". It matches the Rfam family "Bacterial small subunit ribosomal RNA", at positions 524 to 776 of the family's 1533-position model. The record is from RNAcentral.
UACGUAGGUCCCGAGCGUUGUCCGGAUUUAUUGGGCGUAAAGCGAGCGCAGGUGGUUUAUUAAGUCUGGUGUAAAAGGCAGUGGCUCAACCAUCGUAUGCAUUGGAAACUGGUAGACUUGAGUGCAGGAGAGGAGAGUGGAAUUCCAUGUGUGGCGGUGAAAUGCGUAGAUAUAUGGAGGAACACCGGUGGCGAAAGCGGCUCUCUGGCCUGUAACUGACACUGAGGCUCGAAAGCGUGGGGAGCAAACAGG